CUGGAUAUUUUUUUGUCACACCUUCCAAAUCGUGUAGAAGAAACGCUUACAAAAAGAAGAAAGAGACCUGGUUUGCCUUCCUUGCUGGCGUCCUUGUCAUCUCCAACCCGCCCACAGGUAUUGCAACUCCUUCCCAUCUGGUUUCCUCCUAUGAGAUAUUUUCUUCACUUGAGCUUUAGAAACAUUUAUUUAAGUGGUUACUGGUUGCUCCAGAAAUUUGAUAUUAAUAUGAUUUUGAUAUAGCCAUGAUGGCUCCUGUGUAGUUGUUUGGUUUGGUAUUUGAUUGUAAACUCUGGUUUGGUAUUUUUAGUCGCAUGUUUCAGUGGAAGAAGAAAAAAUAGUGUCAAAGUAGAAUGCACAUCGUUGUGGCAUAGUCGACUAUGUCGUAUGAGAAGAUUUGAUCAGAUGGUCCUUUUUUAUUCUUUCUGAUUUUCUAUAGAUAGUUGGGUUUUCGGAUACAAAUAUAAUUUUGGUAAUCCCAUGAGUUUUUGUCAAUGCCAGGUUUAAUUGUUGACAUAGUAUUGAACAUUUAGUUCAGUUAAAUAUCAUGACAGAUGGCUUCCUUUAUUUAUGUCCAAAUUAAAAAUCAUAUGCAAAUAGACUUGUGCAAGAAAUAAAUUUUGAAUUUGUUUUGGUCCAUUGUCUCAGAUCACACUGAUUCCACUCUUUUUAGGACUCCAGUAGAAACUGCAUGUACAAAUAAUAAUAUACAUUUACAUUGAACUUUGUUCUGUGUAAGUAUGAGUAAAUGCAUUGAUGUGUUCUCACUCUUUCUAGGACUAUAAUAGCAACUACAGUUUGACAGCGCCAAGGAGGCGCUACCCGAUAUACAUCAAUGAUGAUGAAGGUAUAUACAUAUACAUUAUGUUGGAGAGGGAGUAGAAGAGUGGGGAGGGUGAAACAUAUGCCUUGUGCAUGCGUGAACCAAGCAAUGCAUUUGUGCCUUCUUUUUCUAUGUGUAUUUGCUCACCAUCUGUCAUGUUAAGUUGCGGACUAGCUAUUUAACAUUGUGUGCAUAGUUCAAACAUUUCCAUCUUUGAUAAAAUCUUCUUGAUCCAUGGUAGGUUGGUGCACCAGACACGACACCAGAAGUUUCACUACUGCAUAAGUGCGUCUUCAAGGUGACGAGGUGGACGGUAAGGUAUAUGCUUCUACUUGCCUCCGGUGCUUUCUAUUUGAUACAUCAGUACUUCAUAAGUUGGUCUGACUGUUUUCCCUCUCCGUAGUGAACUGCGGGAUGUGCCGUUGGCUGAUGAUGUGCUCUCCAUUAAAACCAAGAAGGCCAUGCGCCACUGAAACCAGAGAGGUCAGAUGUUGUUAUGUGCUCUCCCUUUUUGUACGCCUGUUUGAUCUUCUCUUUCUCACUUCAAUGACUCUUGCGAUGAGCAUCUUGAUUAUGUACGGGUUGGAAAUCGAUAUAUGCAGGACCUUAUCCUUUUGUUUGUGGAUGCGUGAAGAAAGGAUGGUUGGCUAAGGGGGUGUCUCUUCUAGGACAGUGUCACGUGGCUCUGUUAGCUUCGAUUUUAUGGCGCCCUGUUGUCCGAUAUACAUUUAUUUAUGGAUUGGACGCAUCUGGUUAGUUCAUGUUGUUAUGUUGUUCAAGAAUAAGCACAUGUUGCAGUUAGUAUGCUACUCUAUGUAACCUCUUUGUCCUUGGGAUUUCCUUUGCAGCAAACUAAAUGGAUUCUAAAUGCUACCUUGGUCAUUAUUCUUUGUACAAUGCAUGCAGCAGUCUGCGAGUGUUU
RNAcentral lists this long non-coding RNA (1745 nucleotides) under Triticum aestivum (bread wheat). Its description in RNAcentral is "long non-coding RNA (TAES_LNC024864)". Lineage: Eukaryota; Viridiplantae; Streptophyta; Magnoliopsida; Poales; Poaceae. The record is from RNAcentral.